AACGAACGCUGGCGGCAGGCCUAACACAUGCAAGUCGAACGGGACCUUCGGGUCUAGUGGCGGACGGGUGAGUAACGCGUGGGAACGUGCCCUUUGGUUCGGAAUAGCCCCGGGAAACUGGGAGUAAUACCGGAUAAGCCCUACGGGGGAAAGAUUUAUCGCCAAAGGAUCGGCCCGCGUUGGAUUAGGUAGUUGGUGAGGUAAUGGCUCACCAAGCCGAAGAUCCAUAGCUGGUUUGAGAGGAUGAUCAGCCACACUGGGACUGAGAAACGGCCCAGACUCCUACGGGAGGCAGCAGUGGGGAAUCUUAGACAAUGGGGGAAACCCUGAUCUAGCCAUGCCGCGUGAUCGAUGAAGGCCUUAGGGUUGUAAAGAUCUUUCAGUGGGGAAGAUAAUGACUGUACCCACAGAAGAAGCCCCGGCUAACUCCGUGCCAGCAGCCGCAGUAA
RNAcentral lists this ribosomal RNA (449 nucleotides) under uncultured bacterium. Its description in RNAcentral is "partial 16S ribosomal RNA". It matches the Rfam family "Bacterial small subunit ribosomal RNA", at positions 29 to 523 of the family's 1533-position model. The record is from RNAcentral.